This 46-nucleotide ribosomal RNA is filed under the name Karlodinium australe. RNAcentral describes it as "partial 28S ribosomal RNA". The record is from RNAcentral. Lineage: Eukaryota; Dinophyceae; Gymnodiniales; Kareniaceae.
UCAAGACAUGAAGUUAGGUCAGCAAACCCGCUGAACUUAAGCAUAU